Capsicum annuum is the source of this 714-nucleotide long non-coding RNA. RefSeq lists it as uncharacterized. The transcript has 4 exons. Lineage: Eukaryota; Viridiplantae; Streptophyta; Magnoliopsida; Solanales; Solanaceae. The record is from RefSeq and is a predicted model, not a curated record.
AUUUUAAAAAAAUAAAAUCUGAAGGCAACUUUUUCAAACUUUCACUGCCACUUUAGCUUUUUUCCUUGAAAGGUUUGGCUUUUGCCAUUUUAAAGUUCAGUAUACUCUCUUCUAUAUUAUUAAUUCGAUCAACUUUUCAUAUCAUAAAGUAAAUAUUUUGGAUUGCUAGAUAUGCGUAUAUAAAUUUGGGUUCUAGUGGGAUAUUAUUCGGAGGCUUUACAAAAAGAUAUUAUAGCUUUGGCGUCCAGAUCCGGGCAUUAGCAGUCGACGUUGACGUGUCCUGCCUUUCAGUACUAGAGCAGGGUGAGCUUGCUGUCGUCUAAGGCUGAUCCUUCUCUAUCUACUCCAGAGUACAAGGUACUGAUAUUAGUAGAACGGAAUUAGAACAACGCAAAUUAGAAUGAGUGUGCUAUAAAUUGAGAUGGAGAAUAUUACACUGGGACAAGCAGUACAGUAAGAUGUGAAUUUACAAGGCAUUAUCCCAAGGCUGGGAAUUGUUCAAGUCCUACGUCCCAAAGUUUCUCUUUAAUAAUCCAAAUGGUGGACAUGACAUAAGUUCCUUUCUUUUCUUAAUAUUGGCUGCUUCCUAUUGUUAUAAAUGACAAUUAGAGUUCCUGAGACAGUAACUUGUAGACAAAAGUUGGUUGGAUCAAUUACAGUGCAGUUCUCCUUAUAUUAUCAUGGUAUACAAAAUGGUUCUGCCCAUUUGCUUCU